Molecule: ribosomal RNA, 131 nt
Filed under: Danio rerio (zebrafish)
Lineage: Eukaryota; Metazoa; Chordata; Actinopteri; Cypriniformes; Danionidae
Source: RNAcentral
UCUGGUUCAUACUCUAAUCGCUAAUAUCAAGCCAGCAACUCUCACAUGGUUGCCCACUGAAGCUAAGCAGGGCUGCGCCCGGUCAGUACCUGGAUGGGAGACCACAUGGGAAAGCUAGGUUGCUGCCAGAA